This 314-nucleotide unclassified non-coding RNA is filed under the name Hevea brasiliensis (rubber tree). The record is from RNAcentral. Lineage: Eukaryota; Viridiplantae; Streptophyta; Magnoliopsida; Malpighiales; Euphorbiaceae.
GCGACGACGAGGCCGAAAAGCGAGCCGAGGCCGCCGCCCGUCGCGCCGAGAACCGCCGCCUCGCCGAGCUUGAGCAGGCCGAGAUCGACAAGGCGAACAAGAAGCCCGACAAGAAGGCGAAUCGCGUCUCCAUCCCCGUCCCCAAGGUCACCGAGGCGGAGCUGGAGCGGAUCCGCGAGGAGGAGAGGGUUCGGAUCCAGCGGACUGCGGAGGAGGCCAAGAAGCGGCAGAGCAGGGCGGCGGGGGAGGAGGAGUACGAGAAGAUGGUGCUGGUGAGCAAUACGAAUAGGGAAGAUUCGGUGAUCGAGGCACAU